ACGAACGCUGGCGGCGUGCUUAACACAUGCAAGUCGAACGGAAAGGCCCUGCUUUUGUGGGGUGCUCGAGUGGCGAACGGGUGAGUAACACGUGAGUAACCUGCCCUUGACUUUGGGAUAACUUCAGGAAACAGGGGCUAAUACCGGAUAGGAGCUCCUGCUGCAUGGUGGGGGUUGGAAAGUUUCGGCGGUUGGGGAUGGACUCGCGGCUUAUCAGCUUGUUGGUGGGGUAGUGGCUUACCAAGGCUUUGACGGGUAGCCGGCCUGAGAGGGUGACCGGCCACAUUGGGACUGAGAUACGGCCCAGACUCCUACGGGAGGCAGCAGUGGGGAAUAUUGCACAAUGGGCGGAAGCCUGAUGCAGCAACGCCGCGUGCGGGAUGACGGCCUUCGGGUUGUAAACCGCUUUCGCCUGUGACGAAGCGUGAGUGACGGUAAUGGGUAAAGAAGCACCGGCGAACUACGU
RNAcentral lists this ribosomal RNA (466 nucleotides) under uncultured bacterium. Its description in RNAcentral is "partial 16S ribosomal RNA". It matches the Rfam family "Bacterial small subunit ribosomal RNA", at positions 29 to 506 of the family's 1533-position model. The record is from RNAcentral.